This 404-nucleotide ribosomal RNA is filed under the name uncultured Candidatus Saccharibacteria bacterium. Its description in RNAcentral is "bacterial SSU rRNA". It matches the Rfam family "Bacterial small subunit ribosomal RNA", at positions 355 to 774 of the family's 1533-position model. The record is from RNAcentral. Lineage: Bacteria; Candidatus Saccharimonadota.
UAAGGAAUCUUCCACAAUGGGCGAAAGCCUGAUGGAGCAACACCGCGUGAAGGAUGAAGGCCCUCGGGUCGUAAACUUCUUUUAUAAGUGAAGAAUAUGACGGUAACUUAUGAAUAAGGGUCGGCUAACUACGUGCCAGCAGCCGCGGUCAUACGUAGGACCCAAGCGUUAUCCGGAGUGACUGGGCGUAAAGAGUUGCGUAGGCGGCUUAGUAAGUGGAUAGUGAAAUCUGGUGGCUCAACCAUUCAGACUAUUAUCCAAACUGCUAAGCUCGAGAAUGGUAGAGGUGGCUGGAAUUUCCUGUGUAGGAGUGAAAUCCGUAGAUAUAGGAAGGAACACCAAUGGCGUAGGCAGGCCACUGGACCAUUUCUGACGCUGAGGCACGAAAGCGUGGGGAGCGAACC